Molecule: long non-coding RNA, 151 nt
Organism: Megachile rotundata (alfalfa leafcutting bee)
Lineage: Eukaryota; Metazoa; Arthropoda; Insecta; Hymenoptera; Megachilidae
Source: RefSeq, a predicted model, not a curated record
CUCUCGGAUUAUUAACAAACAGGAUUAUUUUCAAAGAAUGGGUGAGUCCUAUUUUAAUAAAUUUCCUGUAAAUUAGUAGAGACGUUAAUACAUUUGUUAGAUCUCACAUUGAAACUCUUUUUUAUCACAAACAGAAUAAGUAUUUCCUAUU